UUUCCCUCAGGAUAGCUGGCACUCGCUUGAGCGAGUCUCAUCUGGUAAAGCGAAUGAUUAGAGGCCUUGGGGCCGAAACGACCUCAACCUAUUCUCAAACUUUAAAUGGGUGAGAUCUCUGGCUUGCUUGAACGUUGAAGCCACGAGAUUUAUUUAUAUUCUUGGAUCAGAGUGCCAAGUGGGCCAAUUUUGGUAAGCAGAACUGGCGCUGUGGGA
RNAcentral lists this ribosomal RNA (216 nucleotides) under Coccophagoides fuscipennis. RNAcentral describes it as "partial 28S ribosomal RNA". It matches the Rfam family "Eukaryotic large subunit ribosomal RNA", at positions 967 to 1163 of the family's 3401-position model. The record is from RNAcentral. Lineage: Eukaryota; Metazoa; Arthropoda; Insecta; Hymenoptera; Aphelinidae.